CAGUAGCCGCGGGAAUACGUAGGGUGCAAGCGUUAAUCGGAAUUACUGAGCGUAAAGCGUGCGCAGGCGGCUAUGCAAGACAGAUGUGAAAUCCCCGGGCUCAACCUGGGAACUGCAUUUGUGACUGCAUGGCUAGAGUACGGUAGAGGGGGAUGGAAUUCCGCGUGUAGCAGUGAAAUGCAUAGAUAUGCGGAGGAACACCGAUGGCGAAGGCAAUCCCCUGGACCUGUACUGACGCUCAUGCACGAAAGCGUGGGGAGCAAACAGGAUUAGAUACCCCCGUAGUCCCUGUCUCUUAUAA
This 301-nucleotide ribosomal RNA is filed under the name uncultured bacterium. Its description in RNAcentral is "partial 16S ribosomal RNA". It matches the Rfam family "Bacterial small subunit ribosomal RNA", at positions 509 to 809 of the family's 1533-position model. The record is from RNAcentral.